ACGUAGGGUGCAAGCGUUAAUCGGAAUUACUGGGCGUAAAGCGUGCGCAGGCGGUUAUGCAAGACAGAUGUGAAAUCCCCGGGCUCAACCUGGGAACUGCCUUAGUGACUGCAUAGCUAGAGUGCGUCAGAGGGAGGUGGAAUUCCGCGUGUAGCAGUGAAAUGCGUAGAGAUGCGGAGGAACACCGAUGGCGAAGGCAGCCUCCUGGGAUGACACUGACGCUCAUGCACGAAAGCGUGGGGAGCAAACAG
Molecule: ribosomal RNA, 251 nt
Filed under: uncultured prokaryote
Description: partial 16S ribosomal RNA
Rfam family: Bacterial small subunit ribosomal RNA
Source: RNAcentral